AUUAUAAUUACAAGUCUAACAUCAUUAAAGUGUUAAAGUAAAUCAUUCAAAAACAAGAAGCCGACAUUGUAAUAUUAACAAGAAAAUUGCAUGGCAUCUGUUCCUAUAUUUCUAAGCGUGUAUAUGGCUUCAGAACAUUAAACAAAACACUUUCCACAUAUCAUAAUAAUAAUCUAAAUGUUUAGAAGGAUAUGGUUCUGUUACCAUAUUUUCGGUUCUUUCUUUCAUUUUAUUUCAUUUCUUUUU
RNAcentral lists this long non-coding RNA (246 nucleotides) under Trifolium pratense (red clover). Its description in RNAcentral is "long non-coding RNA (TPRA_LNC006454)". The record is from RNAcentral. Lineage: Eukaryota; Viridiplantae; Streptophyta; Magnoliopsida; Fabales; Fabaceae.